CUUUUACAUUAAUAUAACACUGAUAAUUAGAAGACUUACAGUAGAGUAAGCUCUGUUUAUAGAAAGCCCAGAGGUUUUUUUUUAUUUUUUUUAGGAACUCAUUGGUCUUUGGCCUCAGUGAACUUAUGCACUAGAGUAAUAAAAAUACAAAAUAUUUGUGGAUAAUUUUGGCUGUGUUCACUAAAAAAAAACUAAGGUGCAUUAGCUUAAAAAAAGAAAUAAUAAAACAAACCUUGACCGGGAAUAUCGUAUAACAAGGUGGGGAAAUCACAGAAAAGUACAAGAAUUAUCAUCAAAAUUAUUGUGGACGAGCCUGAGUCGGAUCAGGAAGCUGUUAGCAGGAGGCUCCGACUUUGCAGCUGUCAACAGAACAGAAGCAAACUGCUCCAGACCUCAUGUAUUUCAGCAGAGGAAUUUACGGCGCUGCAAGUAUCUGCUUUCCAUUCAGACCAACCGGUCCAUUACCAAAGCAAAGCCACGGCAUCGUAAGAGGUCACGAUCUGUGGUCUGGCCACCCCUCGCUGGCUGGACAUCUUCAGUGAAAAGGAAGCCUUCUUUGAACAACACAUUUUCUCAGCAGCUUUCUCCUCUCAACCUUAGUGUUAGGAUGACACAGGAGGACAAACUGUUUGUAGAUGAUAAGAUUUCAAGAUUAAAUGCAGAUUUGAAGCAGAACUCAGAUGCCUCCAGCGAACAGAGGACGACUAAUGUCCGUGGCAAACUGAACAAGCAGGAAGUGUUUGAUGGCAUAGAAGGAACGCGGCGGGUGCUGAAGUUUGAUGAAACGCCUGAAACUGUUGCUGUGGAAGCUGCGGAACAGAGGAAAAGCCCUCGGCAGAAGCACAAACGUGGAGUGAUUCGUGAAGCUCAGAAUGGUUUCCAGAAUGAGCAGCAGGAGGAGAUUUCUGAGGAUUCGGAUGGGUUCAGGACUCCCACAGAUCUGUUCAGCGUGAAGCCUAAAAUGAAAGGAGGGAACCAGAAGAAAGUCUCUGCCUCUGGUGUAACAAAACCUGCCGCUCAGAAGCCCAACUUCAUGUCCAUGUUAGCCACUCUGGUGAAGAAUCAGAAUCAGAUUAUUAAAGAGUCCUGCAAAUGAGUCUCUAUGAAAGUCCUGCAAUUAGAUUUGUGUGUCAUUUUGUAUAAAUGAAGAGACAUGCAUCGUUGCUGUUGAGAUUUGUUUUAUUGUGUAACUU
Molecule: long non-coding RNA, 1193 nt
Organism: Cyprinus carpio carpio
Lineage: Eukaryota; Metazoa; Chordata; Actinopteri; Cypriniformes; Cyprinidae
Source: Ensembl